This 7203-nucleotide long non-coding RNA is filed under the name Homo sapiens (human). RNAcentral's name for it is "HSALNT0356511". Lineage: Eukaryota; Metazoa; Chordata; Mammalia; Primates; Hominidae. The record is from RNAcentral.
UAUUCUGCUGAACUCAGUCCCCAAGCAAUGUAUGCAUUACUCAAACUUCUUGACCUUCAAAAUCAUCAAGUGACUUGUGGCAAGUGUGCCAUGGUGCUGAGGUCUUUGUUCAUUUCGACUGGAAUAAAAUCGGACUUUGCCACAUCCUCCUAAGAUAAAAUAGAUGUGAGAGCAUUUACUUGAAGUGGUUCUGUGGAUGUUGGUACAUUGUGAUUUCAGUUACAGAAAAGCCACAGAUGGAACUGAUGUUAAAAGCACCUCAAGGACAACCAGGUACUGGAGCAGAUGCCAAAAGGAGUUCUUCUGCCCUGUCAUCAAGAUUCUGAAUCACUCAAUUUAUUGGACAAAAGCAUUUAGCUCUGAUUCCUCUUGUGUUCUCUCCAAAUCUCCAUCAGAGUAAGAAGAGACUUUGAGAGAAUUAGUCUCUCUUCUGAGUAUCUGUUAUAGAUGUGAAAGAUACUUCAGAAAAUACAUGGCUCUGGUUUCAUCAUUUUGGGAAAAGCAGCUUGAUAUGCUUUGACUUGUUAUUACUACAGUUCCGUCUGAGAUGGCAACUCACGUUACACUAACGUGGGCCAAAAAAAAAAGUGCUUGUGUUUUUGUCCUUUAUAGAGUUUUUUAAAAAUUAAAAAGCUAAAAAUUAGUUUGUCUUAAAUAUUAUAGCAUAGAUUUUAGAGGUCUCUUUGAGAUUUUAGAACCUGUUAGUUCAUCCUUUGAUUAGGAAUUUCUAGCCAGGACUCAGGAUAAAGGUCCAAUUUCUGGUCAGUAGGGGCGCUGGUUGUGAGGCUGUUGUCUCAGCUCCAGACACAUCUUCAUACUCUGCUUUGUCAUGAGACUCUGCAAACCACAUCUUUCCUUUGCUGGAGAGCUUUUUGUUAGGGUAUACCAGGAUUGGACACGAGAGACUGGAACCUGGAGGCGGGAAGAAGGGAGCUCCCCCCUUCUAUUUGCUUUCUGUUUCUAACAACGAUGGCACAGCCGUGGUUUUCCAGAAGCUGAGCAGUGGCUGUUCACUCCUGAAGGAAUAGUGGGUUCCAGGGUGCGGUUUUCCACACUUGUAGAACCAGCUUCAUCUCUCCACUCAAAGAUCACCGCACCGUCAGCCGGUGGCGCCUCUUCAGAGGUUUGAAUCCGAGCUCUGUGGAGUCCCCACAUUUCUGAGGUACCAGUUACCAGGAGAGUGGUGUCCACGCCUGAGAGGUUUCACUCCCAGCUCCUGGAAAAGCUUCCACAUUUUAAUGAUCCCAGCCUUGCCUCUGGUUCCCAGCCCUAAGCGUGGCGGCUUCCUAUUGCAGUUAUCUCUGUGAUACCUGAGAGUCCCCUUUUUGCCUCCUACCUCUUCACUAUCUGUUGACAGUUGUUUGUUCAAUCAUCUCUCUUAGAAUAAUUGCUAUGGUCUUGGUCCGAGAUAUAAUAGGCAACCAGGUUUUCAGCUCCUGGAAAAGAGCCAUGAGACCCAGGUCCUCUUCUACGCAAUCCCAAGCUCAGGUGGAUUUUUCACUAGCUUUCCUCAAUACAACAUAGGGAUCCCUCCCUAGAUGAUGUGAUUCACCCCCGUGGGGAUAGCUGCGAGAUUAGGGGAAACUGAUGUUUUACCUACACCCUGGUCAUGAAGACCUUGCUUUGCUCCCUCCUUCAUUCCUACCCUGCUGUUCCUCAGUCUCCUCAAGACCUAUGUCCAAUCAGUCUGUUUUCUCCUACUUAAUAGCACCUUCUCAGCUUCCCUUUUCUUUUUAGUCAGUCUGGAUCCCAUUACCAUCAUUUCAGUCACCUUCCAGUCCCUUUUACUCUCACAUGUUUUUGUUGUCCUGCCACACCUGCUGACAACCCCAAGCCAGAGUCAUUCCAACCUCUCUCCUCCCAUGCUCUGACAUGAUAGUAGCUGCCCUGGAGGAAAUUCACAAUCUAAGCAUCCAAUGUCAGCUGGAUCCUCCCUGCCAUAGCUCUCCUGAUGCCUCUGCUCUAUCCUGAUCCUACCCUGCUGCCUCCUUUUUAUCUCACUUGGAGGGUGGCCUAACCUACCCUUCUCAUACAGCUUGAAUAUGGAGGCAAUCUUAAGGCCUCUUUCUACCUCCAAAUCUACCAGCAUCUUGUCUUACUUGAUUUGGAGAAAAAGCUGUUCCUCUUUCUGUCAUAGGCUAAAUCUUCCACUAUCCUGCUUUCUUAUCUAUUAUGUUAUCUAAUUUACUUUCUAUUGGCCCCCUCUACUUCCAGUGUAAUUAAGUCUUAUAAGGGCAGGGAAUUUGCAUCUGUUUUGUUUGUGCAGAUGUGAGGUGUGAGGAAAGGAAAGCUGAUGAAAAAGAAAGCUUGGAUGAUUCCCAGAUUUUUGGCCUGAACACUGGAAGGCCUGGAGUUGCCUGUAACUGAGCUGGGGAGGGCCAUUCAUUGGUGAGGUUUGGAGGGGACAGUCAAGAGUUUAGUUCAGGACAUGUUAGCACAUUAGACAUCCACGUGGGGAUAUUGGGUAGGCAGUGGAAUGUACAACUUUUAGAGAGGAGGUCUAGGAUAUAGGGAUAAAUAUCAGUCUCAUCAGCAUAAAGAUGGCAUUUAAAGCCAUGAGAGUAGAUGGGAACUUUAAGGAAUAAUUGUCAAUAAUAAAGGGAAGGAGUCUAAGGACUGAGCCCGGGGACACCAAUGCCAAGAAGCCAGGGAAGAAAAACUACCAAGGAGAUUGAAAAGGAGAGCCCUGGACUACGAUACCAGGUGGAAAACCAGGACAAUGUGGCAUCCUGACAUCCCAGUGAAGAAAGUGUUUCAAUGAAGUGUCCCACUUCUUCACACUCCAAAGUGUGGCUGGCAAGUGAUAUUAGAUGAGAACAGAGAAUUAACCAUUGGAUUUGGCAUUGCAGGGAGUCAUCGUUGACCUUGGCAAGAGUGGGUUUAGUAGAGUGGGGAGGGGUGAAAGCAUAAUUGGAGUGGGUUUGAGAGAAAAUGGAUAAAUGAAGGAGAAAACAAUUAGCUCGUGGGGAUAAAAAUUUAUGAAGAUAGAAAUGGGUUUCUGAUUUAAAAAAUCAAUCUUGGUGCCAUUAUAAUCCUAUGGGCUCUUGAAAUUACUCUCCACACUGUGUUAUUCUUCUGAAUGCAGUGCAGGUUCUUCAGCUUUGCUGGAGUACGUAUCGACUUUGCUGGGAGCAUGACUUUGUGCAAGGCAUAAAGGUUAUACCUCUGCAGCUCUUCUACUUUGUCUCUGCCAUCUCUGACCACUCAACUCAGGUGUACACUUAAAGCGUUCUGGGAAUAUGAAUCCCUUCUGCACCCUGGAAUCACCAGUCCAGCCAUGCAUGGAGCUGGGGAAAGCAGGCCCUGAAUUGUCUAGAGAGACUUGGUGGAGGAGGCCACGGCCCGCCUUGUCCCUGCCGGGUCCCGGCCAGGUGUGUGUGUGCCCCAGCUCGACUCUCGGUGGUCUCCAGGCUGCAGCAGAAGGAAUACCUUGGGCCCUGUGCUAAUCACGAGUCUUUCCUGUUCGGAGCAGUGAGGCCUGAGACCCUCAACAGUGCUGUGUGUACAGAAGGCCCCCAGAAUCCACACAAAGGGGCCGCCUGAAACCUAGAGCAUUUGUGAAGGAGGAAAAUGGAAGGUAACUUACUCAGUGCGGUGGUUCUUCAGCGUGGCUGCAUCCGGGGAGCACCUGGGAACUCCCAGAAAUACUCAUGCCUGGGCCCAAUUGAUUUGGGGUGUGUUUGAGCGCUGAGAACUGUCAAAGCUCCCCACCAGGUGAUUCUCAGAUGCAGCCAAAGCCAGAACCUCUGGGCUUUCCUCAGGGGACUUUUCCCACACGACAGCUGCCCGGGUUGUCCUCCGUGAGACCCCAGGGCUAACAGAUGUCACUAGGAAAUUUUUAUUCUGUCCUGGAAGAACAUUCAAAAUGUGAGUUUUCCCUAUAGUGAAACUGCGGUGGUAUUUUGAAUUGUGUUUUAAAAGUUUAAAAAAAAUCAAUGAUGACUUUGCUUUAUUCUAAAUAACAUGCAUUGUUUUGUGAUUAUAAAAGUGUGUUCAUUUAAAAUAGGAAAGUCUAUAGAAGAAAAUAAAAGGCUUUUUUUUUUUUUUUUAAGUAUUUUAGGGAGGUAUCACCAUUUAGGUUGGGUAGAAGUAAUUCUUAAAUCUUAAGAAGCAAUCAUAGAUAUGUGGAAGCCAAUAGUCAUUACUAGGGAUCAUGAUUCGGAAAAACAGCCUCUCUUCAAUGAUCCUGAAUGAGCCCUUUGAAUUCCUCUCCUGCAACUGAUCUCCCCAUGGGGAGUGGUGAGGGAUGGGUGACAGGAAGGGACCCUAACCCAAAGUAGUUCAGAGCGGGUGAGUUUUAGGAGCAUUUCGGUACCAAACACAGCUUCACGAUUGAGAAUCAUCAGUCAUCCCCAGCUUUCUAUUUCAUUUGCUAACCUCUCUAGGAACAACUGGAUGUUGUAAAUGUUUCUCAUCUGGCCUUAAAAUCCAUGAAAGCUGGAAAAUCACAAGGCAUCUGUGCAUAUACUGGUGGAUUUUAAUGAGAGUCCUGUGUUUGGAGCACCAGAAAUAAACCAGCUUCAGAAGCAAAGUAAGAAAAGGCCCUUGAUUAUGACACUGGCCAUGGGUAUUACUAUAUGUAGGUGGUAUGUGGAUGAUUCUGGGACACCUGUCCUGCAAACUUUGUCUCCACCCUAAGCUGACUUUUGACAUUGUGCCUGACUGAAAAACUUCUAAUGGGAGAGGUGGUUGGGCCUUGCAGGGGUCCUAUGUUUUUCUUAGGGGGACAGUCUCUCCCUAACUCCACGUGGUCCUGGUGGUGCUCUCCACCAUGGCGCCAUCCUCACUCCCGUGGGGGCCAGGGGACAAGGAACCCAACGGGGCCGGGCCAAUGAGAGUCCCCCGAUCAAAAUCCCUGGUUCAAAGGUGGCCACGUGCCUGAGCAGCUUUGAAACCACAAGGAUGUCAUUUCCUCCUGAGAACUAGGUUAACAGGAGGAGGAAGCAGAGCUAGAGAUGGAAGGAGACCCAGCCAGCCCGGGCUCCAGUGACAUCGGCUGGUACACGCUUUUGUUUGCUUACGCUUGUUGAACUGAGUUUUUCAUAUGUAACUAACGAAUACUGGCACAUGUAAGCCCGAGAAUUUGCAUUUCUGACAAGAUCCCAGGUGAGGCUCACUCGUGCUGCUGGCUUUGGGAUCACACUUAACUACCGGUAUAGUGGGGAAAGACAGGGUUUGGGGUCACAGAGGGCAGAGCUGGAAUUCCAGCUCCCUCCAGCUGUCAGACUUUGGGCCAGGCACUUAGUUCCUCUGAGCCUCAUCUAUGAAACGAAAACAUCUGGGUAUUUCCCCCGCAAGGGGAUGAUGAGGAUUGUAUGAGCUCAUGUGUGUUAGAAGCUGCUCGCAGCCUUUGAGUACACAGCAAGCACUCAGUAAGUGUUAGGACCCUUUCUUGCCAAAAAUGAAGGCUCCAGAAAACCUGGUGUAAAAAAAUUACCACAGAUAAACCUGCAGGAACAAAAAUGCCGACCAGGUGCCUGUAAUCCUAGCACUUUGGGAAGCUGAGGUGGGUGGAUCACCUGAGGUCAGGAGUUCGAGACCAGCCUGGCCAACGUGGUGAAACCCUGUCUCUACUAGAGAUUAGCCAGGUGUAGUGAUGCACACUAGUAAUCCCGGCUACUAGGAAGGCUGAGGCAGGAGAAUCACUUGAACCAUGGAGGUUGCAGUGAGCUGAUAUCGCACCACUGCAGUCUGGGCAACAGAGUGAGACUCCGUCUCAAAAAAAGGCCAAGUAUGAGAGCCUGAAAGGCAGACAAUACAGCCAAUUCUGGAAUUGUGCUUUUCUCAUGAUUCAACUCACAGCCAGUUGUCAGGUUUUCCCAGACAUCCCCCUGAUGCUCCACCAAACCAGGAACCAGACAAACCGAGGAAGGGGCCUCCUUAACUCCUCUAACCAACAGAUGAGAUGUUGACAGAACCUAACAUCUACUUAGAGAUGAUGUCUCAGGGGCAACAGAAGAGGCAGGUGCUGUAGGGCCAGGCGGGUUACCUGUGUCUGCCAGACCCUCCAGUAGUUCAGAAUAGCCUCACUGGCGCCGAGAUGAUAAUGCUGUAUGCAAACAUGUCAAGCUAUCAAAGGGAGCUGCCUUUCGGUUUCAUUAAUUUUGUUGUGUGCAGCUUCCACUGAAGGCUUCAGGGCACCUGAUCUCUUUUGUGUGUUGAGAAAGAGCAAGUGCUUGGCCAGGACACAGCCCUUUUUCUUGCACCCUGAGACAUCCUAAGACACUGGCUGUUUCACCUGCCCCAGUGUAUUUGCUGUCUUCAUCAGCUCUCUUUCUCCCCCUGACAUUCUUGCCUGGCAUUUUGAGUCAGCCUGAGUAUAAUCCAAACCGAAAUGAAAUGCUGUCUGGAAAUCUUACCAAAGAAGCACAGUCCCACUUCGUGCUUCCAUCUCCCCACAUCCCAAGGACCACCGCCUACUUUAAGAGAACACAGACAAUUCACCUCUAUAAAGGCACAGCCAGGAAAAGGAGUAGGCAGAGGUGACAGCAGAUCAUGGGGCUUCUCUUGAAAGGAAGACACCUCCCAGUGAUGAACCCUCAUCAUCCAUUUACUGACAUAUCCUUAUGUCACCAGGAUCUGAACGUCUAUGACACUCUUUCGAGCUGACACAGUGAAGAACAUAGAAGGAGAACUCACCCAGUCUGCCAGGGUCACAGAAUGAUCAUACUCAAGAUCUUCCUGGGGAGUCAAUGGCAAAUUUCACUGGGCUAUUUUACAGAUGAAGAAGGAACAUAAAGAAGGUUCUGGGACCCCGAAGUCCACGGAACACCCACCAUUACCUGAUCUUUGGAGCUUGUCAUUUGGCCAGUGGACCCUAAUAAACGUCCACGGGGAUGUGGGGAUAGAAUGCCAGAGCCUGGCUCGCUAGGGCAUCCAGGUUCUUCCUUCCUCUUUGCCCUGCUGUCUCCAGGCACCAAGAAUCUCCUACAGUUCCCCAAAGAUGAACCCCCCAUUAUCUCAGGUCACUCUGUUUCCCCCGAUCUUUACCAAAUUCCUGACUCAGAGUUCCUCCCAUUUGCUUCUGACUCUCAUUUUAUUCUUACCUCUCAUUUUAUUCUUAUGAUGUUUACCAUUUCUCUUCUCCUCAGUGUCCCUCUCUGAGUGGUAAGAGUAUGUUAAUAAGCCAGUGCUGAGACCGGAGCACGAGGCAACUGCUCAAUGUUGGUCAUUGUCACUGUUAUUAAAUGUAACUUAAGGGAA